This 263-nucleotide ribosomal RNA is filed under the name uncultured soil bacterium. RNAcentral describes it as "partial 16S ribosomal RNA". It matches the Rfam family "Bacterial small subunit ribosomal RNA", at positions 27 to 285 of the family's 1533-position model. The record is from RNAcentral.
GGGAUGAACGCUGGCGGCGUGCUUAACACAUGCAAGUCGAACGAUGAAAGCCGGAGCUUGCUCUGGCUGGAUUAGUGGCGAACGGGUGAGUAACACGUGAGUAACCUGCCCCAGACUCUGGGAUAAGCACUGGAAACGGUGUCUAAUACCGGAUAUGAGCUUCAGCCGCAUGGCUAGGAGCUGGAAAGAAUUUCGGUCUGGGAUGGACUCGCGGCCUAUCGAGGUAGUUGGUGAGGUAAAGGCUCACCAAGCCGACGACGGUA